This is a long non-coding RNA of Daphnia pulicaria, 1023 nucleotides long. RefSeq lists it as uncharacterized. Lineage: Eukaryota; Metazoa; Arthropoda; Branchiopoda; Diplostraca; Daphniidae. The transcript is spliced from 5 exons. The record is from RefSeq and is a predicted model, not a curated record.
CAUCUUCUCAACAACAAAAUUCGAAAGUUGACUACUAUUUUGAGGCUGUAUAUCAGGAUUAAAAAUUCAGAAAGUUUAUACUUACGUUAACUAACAAGUUUAUAAAAUUAGAAAACUUGUGCCAGAGGGACAAAAGUGACAAAACACGUGAGUCGAGCAGAAGGCACUCGUGAAUCAAAGGCUGUUCAACCCUGAUUUCCUGAAGCUGAGAGUGAACUGUGGGUAGAAUGUAGAAAAUCUAAUUGCACCAACUGUUAUCAAGGAGAUUAUACGAACCAGGGAAACCCCAUACCAAAAAGUUGAGUGAGAGACGUGCUGCAACGUUCAGUUCGACAUCAUAGUUUAUUUCCCAGCGGGCCCGCAAGCCGAUUAAGAUCAACUAAACGUCCGUUAUGGGCUACACAAAAUAAGGAUAACACUAACAAUAAGGAAACCAAGUGCUCACUUCGUUGAGGAACCGGUUGAACUUGUCCUUGCUGCAAGAUGGCAUCUGCAUAACGCUGCGGUGGGGUUCCGUCAGCUCAACUAUCAAGAAAAGAAGAAUCCGCAUUUGAUCGAACGAUUCGGCGUGAAAUCGGCGAAAUUGAAAUGGAAAUUGGAAACAGCCAACUAGCCAAUUUAAGAAAGCUUUGGGGAAAUGUGAGAGAAUCGGGAAUACGACUCAUUUAUAAAACUGACGUAUAAUUUUGAGCCCAAAACUGGAGAGAAUUUUUCACUAGCGCUAAUAAUAAUGCUUAAUUGAAGGAAGUCUUGAAACCGACCCCUACUUACUGCGCAUAUGUAUGUAGGAUUGUAGGCCAUUUCGUGCCAUUUCGUGCCUUCACAUUGUAACGUCACGUCACUCGAUAACAUUUUGGGACUAGUUCAAUUAGACUAGAGAAUCUGUGCAUCUUCUCAUCUCAAUCAAACUUGUAUGAUUGAACCGGUAUGAACGCUAUGGCUAUGCUGUUGGCUAUGCUGACAGCAACUAUGAAUCUAUGAGGAAAAUUGAAAAUGCAUUAAUCAUCAAAAUCUGUUUGCCAA